CCGGGUGAUUAUGUAGGGGUGGGUCUCUCUCCUUCUCUCUCUUUCAAUAUAUAUACAUAUAUCCAAAUUAUAAUUUCUUUCUAUAAUUUGAGUUACAAAGAAUCUACCACCAUGCAACAAAUGCUUACAUCACCGGAAAUUUUGCUAUGUUGACAUCAUUUUUGUGAAUAAAGAUAUCUAUUGUAUCGAAAGAAAGGGACUGACUCCACCAUAAU
Molecule: long non-coding RNA, 215 nt
Filed under: Elaeis guineensis (African oil palm)
Lineage: Eukaryota; Viridiplantae; Streptophyta; Magnoliopsida; Arecales; Arecaceae
Description: long non-coding RNA (EGUI_LNC005796)
Source: RNAcentral